GACAGAUUUAAGAUUCAAGAAAGAGGGGUCGGCUGCCUCCAAUCCUGAGGUCAUCACUCAUCAAGAGGGGAUAAUCCCAGGGACAGCAGGAUCUGCUUCGUUACUUGGAUUUAGGAGCCAGAAACCCAUCAGGCAACUAAACAGUAACAAUGACCCGCCAUUAAACACACUGAGAGAAGAGCAUGAUGAAGAGUUUGUACAAGAAGAAGCCAGGAGCACUUGCUGACAAUGCUUACAGAGACGCAGGCUUCUAUGAGCUCUGCCUGUUGAACUGCAGUAAAAAUAGAUCUCCUUCCCCAGAGAGGCUUGGAUGUGGGCACAAUAUCAGUUCAGACGAUGGUCAAUGCAUGUACUUAAUAGAGUGAAAAGACUUUGGACUGUGAAGUCAGAUUACCUGGGUCUGAAUUGUUAUUCUUCUACUUCUUUGUAGUAUGCUUUCACCACAUUAAAAAUUGUCUGAGCCUCAAUUUUUUUAUCUGCAAAAUGGAGCUAAUACCUACACAGGGGCUUUUAAGAGAAUCAAAUGCAACAAUGUUUGAAAAGCAACAUACUCCCCUUUAUGGAAAAAGAGCCUGUAAAGGAACCAAUACAAUGGCUGGGCGUGGUGACUCACA
RNAcentral lists this long non-coding RNA (614 nucleotides) under Homo sapiens (human). RNAcentral's name for it is "non-protein coding lnc-ZNF644-1:15". Lineage: Eukaryota; Metazoa; Chordata; Mammalia; Primates; Hominidae. The record is from RNAcentral.